UGAGGAAUAUUGGGCAAUGCCCGCAAGGGUGACCCAGCAACGCCGCGUGGAGGAUGAAUGUCGUAAGAUUGUAAACUCCUGUUAGAGGGGAAGAAUAGUACCGGUUGGACCGGUAUAUGACUGUACCCUCAGAGAAAGCCCCGGCUAACUACGUGCCAGCAGCCGCGGUAAUACGUAGGGGGCAAGCGUUGUCCGGAUUUACUGGGUGUAAAGGGCGCGCAGGCGGGAUAAAAAGUCAGUGGUGAAAUCCUACAGCUUAACUGUAGAACUGCCUUUGAUACUUUUAUUCUUGAGUUCGGGAGAGAGAGACGGAAUUCCAGGUGUAGUGGUGAAAUACGUAGAUAUCUGGAAGCACACCAGUUGCGAAGGCGGUCUCUUGGUCCGACACUGACGCUGAGGCGCGAAAGCGUGGGGAGCAAACA
RNAcentral lists this ribosomal RNA (422 nucleotides) under uncultured bacterium. RNAcentral describes it as "bacterial SSU rRNA". It matches the Rfam family "Bacterial small subunit ribosomal RNA", at positions 355 to 774 of the family's 1533-position model. The record is from RNAcentral.